AUUGAACGCUGGCGGCAGGCUUAACACAUGCAAGUCGAACGAGUGGCGGACGGGUGAGUAAUGUCUGGGAAACUGGCCGAUGGAGGGGGAUAACUACUGGAAACCGUAGCUAAUACCGCAUACCAUCGGAUGAGCCCAGUGGGGAUUAGCUAGUUGGUGGGGUAACGGCUCACCGAGGCGACGAGCCCUAGCUGGUCUGAGAGGAUGACCAGCCACACUGGAACUGAGACACGGUCCAGACUCCUACGGGAGGCAGCAGGGGGGAAUAUUGCACAAUGGGCGCAAGCCUGAUGCAGCCAUGCCGCGUGUAUGAAGAAGGCCUUCGGGUUGUAAAGUACUUUCAGCGGGGAGGCGUUACUCGCAGAAGAAGCACCGGCUAACUCCGUGCCAGCAGCCGCGGUAAUAC
Molecule: ribosomal RNA, 406 nt
Filed under: uncultured bacterium
Lineage: Bacteria
Description: partial 16S ribosomal RNA
Rfam family: Bacterial small subunit ribosomal RNA
Source: RNAcentral